This is a non-coding RNA of Phascolarctos cinereus (koala), 356 nucleotides long. NCBI's taxonomy places the organism in Eukaryota, Metazoa, Chordata, Mammalia, Diprotodontia, Phascolarctidae. The record is from the annotation of a RefSeq genome assembly.
GUGUCCAGUGUGAUGUGGAGCUGGUGGAGUCUGGGGGAGAUGUGAUACAGCCUGGGGGAUCUCUGAGUCUCUCCUGCAAAGCUUCUGGAUUUACUUUCAGCAGCUACAGGAUGAGCUGGGUCUGCCAGGCUCCAGGGAAGGGACUGGAAUGGGUUGCAAGCAUUCGUACUACUAGUAGUACAUACUAUGCAGACUCUGUGAAAGGCCGAUUCACCACCUCCAGAGAUAAUGGCAUCAGCAUCUUAUACCUACAGAUGACUUCCCUUGAGACUGAGGACACAGCUGUGUAUUACUGUGCAAGAGACACAGUGAGGAAAAGCAAUGUGAGACCAGAUAAAAUCUUCCCCUGCCUGGAG